GAAGGGGCUAGCGUUGCUCGGAAUUACUGGGGCGUAAAGGGGCGCGUAGGCGGAUCGUUAAGUCAGAGGUGAAAUCCCACGGGCUCAACCCUGGGAACUGCCUUUGAUACUGGCGAUCUUGAGUAUGAGAGAGGUAUGUGGAACUCCGAGUGUAGAGGUGAAAUUCGUAGAUAUUCGGAAGAACACCAGUGGCGAAGGCGACAUACUGGCUCAUUACUGACGCUGAGGCGCGAAAGCGUGGGGAGCAAACAGGAUUAGAUACCCUGGUAGUCCACGCCGUAAACGAUGAUUGCUAGUUGUCGGGCUGCAUGCAGUUCGGUGACGCAGCUAACGCAUUAAGCAAUCCGCCUGGGGAGUACGGUCGCAAGAUUA
Molecule: ribosomal RNA, 372 nt
Filed under: uncultured organism
Description: partial 16S ribosomal RNA
Rfam family: Bacterial small subunit ribosomal RNA
Source: RNAcentral